GUUAUAUGUUGCAGCAGCAAAGUUAAGUAGAGCCAGGCUGAAGUUCGCCCCAUUGGAUGUCAAGGUUGAGAAAUUUACAUUUGGUGGCCUCAUCAACCUCAUGUGGGCUCUAAAUUAGAGCUGAAGCAUUGUGUCUGUCAUUAACUGCUUAUGUGACUAAGUCUAUGAAGGAAGCCAGAAUGUCACCCCAAAGUGUCUCUUUGACAUAAAAAUUAGUUUGAAUUGAAGGCAAUUAAGAAGAAAAUCCAGAAAAAGCUUUCCCUUUUCUGCUUAAAGAGUGAAAGCACCGGUUUGAAUUCCUACCAUCACUGUUAGGAGGAUUCCCCUUUCUUCACAUCCUCACCAGCACCUGUUGUUUCUCGUAUUGUUGAUUUUAGCCAUUCU
Molecule: long non-coding RNA, 384 nt
Organism: Hyaena hyaena (striped hyena)
Lineage: Eukaryota; Metazoa; Chordata; Mammalia; Carnivora; Hyaenidae
Exons: 4
Source: RefSeq, a predicted model, not a curated record